GACGGCCUUCGGGUUGUAAACUCCUUUCGACAGGGACGAAGCGUAAGUGACGGUACCUGUAUAAGAAGCACCGGCUAACUACGUGCCAGCAGCCGCGGUAAUACGUAGGGUGCGAGCGUUGUCCGGAAUUACUGGGCGUAAAGAGCUCGUAGGUGGUUUGUCGCGUCGUCUGUGAAAUUCCGGGGCUUAACUUCGGGCGUGCAGGCGAUACGGGCAUAACUUGAGUGCUGUAGGGGANACUGGAAUUCCUGGUGUAGCGGUGAAAUGCGCAGAUAUCAGGAGGAACACCGAUGGCGAAGGCAGGUNNCUGGGCAGUUACUGACGCUGAGGAGCGAAAGCAUGGGUAGCAAACAGGAUUAGAUACCCUGGUAGUCCAUGCCGUAAACGGUGGGCGCUAGGUGUAGGGGGCUUCCACGUCUUCUGUGCCGUAGCUAACGCAUUAAGCGCCCCGCCUGGGGAGUACGGCCGCAAGGCUAAAACUCAAAGGAAUUGACGGGGGCCCGCACAAGCGGCGGAGCAUGUGGAUUAAUUCGAUGCAACGCGAAGAACCUUACCUGGGCUUGACAUACACCAGAUUGCUGCAGAGAUGUAGUGUCCCUUGUGGUUGGUGUACAGGUGGUGCAUGGUUGUCGUCAGCUCGUGUCGUGAGAUGUUGGGUUAAGUCCCGCAACGAGCGCAACCCUUGUCUUAUGUUGCCAGCAUUUGGUUGGGGACUCAUGANAGACUGCCGGGGUUAACUCGGANGAAGGUGGGGAUGACGUCAAAUCAUCAUGCCCCUUAUGUCCAGGGCUUCACACAUGCUACAAUGNUCGGUACAACGCGCAGCGACACUGU
This 834-nucleotide ribosomal RNA is filed under the name Corynebacterium aurimucosum. RNAcentral describes it as "bacterial SSU rRNA". It matches the Rfam family "Bacterial small subunit ribosomal RNA", at positions 410 to 1258 of the family's 1533-position model. Lineage: Bacteria; Bacillati; Actinomycetota; Actinomycetes; Mycobacteriales; Corynebacteriaceae. The record is from RNAcentral.